Molecule: long non-coding RNA, 1299 nt
Filed under: Equus asinus (donkey)
Lineage: Eukaryota; Metazoa; Chordata; Mammalia; Perissodactyla; Equidae
Description: lncRNA (ENSEASG00005026772.1)
Source: RNAcentral
CGCCGGCUGCCCCCAGGGCUUGGGGGGAGGCCAACGCAGGUGCGUGGGAGGGCGGGGGUGGGAGCCAGCGAGGAGGCGGGUGGUGGCCGGGGGCCCAGAGCGGCCCCUCCCCGUCCAGAUCCGUUGCCCCUCAGUCCAGCCUCUCCACCCCUCACCAGGCCCCCACCAGGCUGUCCAGCCCGGGAAGACCUGUCCCUGCCCUGUCAGUUUCCCCGCCCCCCAAGAUGGGGGGCGCAGAGAGGAUUCUAGAAAAGCCAAGGUGGCCAGGCGGUGAGGGACCGGCGGAGUCGUCACAGUUAGUGCUUCACACGCAGGCUCUUGGGUCUGGGGGAGCGUGGGGAUGCAAGGAGGUGGGCUUUCUGAGAUGCGAGGCUGGCACCUGGGUCGCCUCGUGGGGCAGCCCUCUCAGCAGCCAGGCUGGCGCAAGCUCGCCUGGAGGUUUCCUGGCCCCGCUGAGCACAGGACUGGGAGUCUCACCUGCACGCACUAGCCCGCCGCCCCAACCGGCCUGACGCCUCCCUAAUGAGGGAGCAGCAGGUGGCCACCUGUCAAGCUGGUCCCCUUCUCCCUCCUGCCCACGAGUGCAGGGGCUGCCGAGCUUGGUGGCAUAGUCCCAGGCUAUGGCCCACGGAAAGCAUCCUGGGGCGGCAGGACUGGGCCAUGGGUGAUGGGGGUGCAUGGGAAUCCUCAUCGUCCAAGGUCUCAGCCCCACAGAAGAAAGGGGAGGAGGUGGGCAGAGACUCCCAGGAUCCCAUGUGCCCAAUGGGGGCAGAGGGAGGAGUGGAGGAGGAACUGAUCCCUUCUCUGGUCAGAGGGUGAUCAAAAAGGAUUGUCCAUCUGGUCCACUGCACUUCCACCCUCUAGUCUGGGUGGCUUCAGUUUCCUACAAAGGGGGUAUCAGAUGAGAGGGAGGGGAUGCUCAGUUUCAAAACUUAGGCUGGGGGAUGAGAGGCGGUGUCCCGAUUGCGAGCUCCAGUCCCAGGGGACUCAUGGAAUCUCCAACUAAGGAAGGUCUGGGUCCUCACCCCCACCACUUCUGGGGAGUUCAGAAAGGCCCCCUGCUGAAGGGCCCUGCAGUUCCAGUCAAGACCUCCCCCUGGUCCCUUGGCAGCGAUGGCACUGCUGUUGUGGGAGGGUCGGCUCCUGUCUGCCCCUAUCCACCUGUGUUUACUGAUCCCAAGUCCUCCAGGUCCUGCACAAACACCUGCACCUCCCUUCCUCUCCUCCCCUGCCUCAAGUGUGGCUACACGAGUGAGUCCAGGUUCUGGCAAUUUGCUGGCCGUCACUGGUGUUCCUCAG